This 63-nucleotide transfer RNA is filed under the name Trigonopterus triradiatus. Its description in RNAcentral is "tRNA-His". Lineage: Eukaryota; Metazoa; Arthropoda; Insecta; Coleoptera; Curculionidae. The record is from RNAcentral.
AUCUAGAUAUUUUAUAUAAAAAUAUUAAUUUGUGGAAUUAAAGAUGUAUUAUUGCUCUAGAUA